RNAcentral lists this ribosomal RNA (459 nucleotides) under uncultured bacterium. Its description in RNAcentral is "partial 16S ribosomal RNA". It matches the Rfam family "Bacterial small subunit ribosomal RNA", at positions 338 to 795 of the family's 1533-position model. The record is from RNAcentral.
CCUACGGGAGGCAGCAGUGAGGAAUAUUGGUCAAUGGGAGAGAUCCUGAACCAGCCAAGCCGCGUGAGGGAAGACGGCCCUAUGGGUUGUAAACCUCUUUUGUCGGAGAACAAAACCCGGGGCGUGUCCCGGACUCCGUGUAUCCGAAGAAAAAGCAUAGGCUAACCCCGUGCCAGCAGCCGCGGUAAUAGGGGGGAGGCGAGCGUUAUCCGGAUUUAUUGGGUUUAACGGGUGGGUAGGCGGUCCGUUAAGUCAACGGUAAAAUUGAGGGACUCAACCCCGUCGAGCCGUUGAAACUGGCAGACUUGAGUUGGCGAGAGGUACGCGGAAUGCGCGGUGUAGCGGUGAAAUGCAUAGAGAUCGCGAAGAACUCCGAUUGCGAAGGCAGCGUACCGGCGCCAGACUGACGCUGAGGCACGAAAGCGUGGGGAUCGAACAGGAUUAGAUACCCGGGUAGUC